GGGUCAGUAGGUUGGUCGUGCCACCGGUACGUACUGGUCUCACUGAUUCCUCCUUCCUGAAGAACCGUAAUGCCAUUAAUUUGGUGUUGCGGGGAAACAGGACUGUUACUUUGAAAAAAUUAGAGUGUUUAAAGCAAGCUAACGCUUGAAUACAUUAGCAUGGAAUAAUGAAAUAGGGCGAUCGACCCUAUUUUGUUGGUUUCUAGGAUUGACGUA
This 216-nucleotide ribosomal RNA is filed under the name Glomeromycotina sp. RNAcentral describes it as "partial small subunit ribosomal RNA". The stretch from base 40 to 216 matches the Rfam family "Eukaryotic small subunit ribosomal RNA", at positions 686 to 864 of the family's 1831-position model. The record is from RNAcentral. Lineage: Eukaryota; Fungi; Glomeromycota.